ACCUGGCUGGCUCAUUCAGAGGAGUAUGUGACUGUUGAUCUCAGGAUUGUGAGUUCGAGCCCCACGUUGGGUG
RNAcentral lists this transfer RNA (73 nucleotides) under Canis lupus familiaris (dog). It matches the Rfam family "tRNA". From Rfam's summary of the family: Transfer RNA (tRNA) molecules are approximately 80 nucleotides in length. Their secondary structure includes four short double-helical elements and three loops (D, anti-codon, and T loops). Lineage: Eukaryota; Metazoa; Chordata; Mammalia; Carnivora; Canidae. The record is from Rfam by way of RNAcentral. RNAcentral also lists the same sequence under 2 other names.